RNAcentral lists this transfer RNA (71 nucleotides) under Ictidomys tridecemlineatus (thirteen-lined ground squirrel). Its description in RNAcentral is "Spermophilus tridecemlineatus (thirteen-lined ground squirrel) tRNA". It matches the Rfam family "tRNA". From Rfam's summary of the family: Transfer RNA (tRNA) molecules are approximately 80 nucleotides in length. Their secondary structure includes four short double-helical elements and three loops (D, anti-codon, and T loops). Further hydrogen bonds mediate the characteristic L-shaped molecular structure. tRNAs have two regions of fundamental functional importance: the anti-codon, which is responsible for specific mRNA codon recognition, and the 3' end, to which the tRNAs corresponding amino acid is attached (by aminoacyl-tRNA synthetases). tRNAs cope with the degeneracy of the genetic code in two manners: having more than one tRNA (with a specific anti-codon) for a particular amino acid; and 'wobble' base-pairing, i.e. permitting non-standard base-pairing at the 3rd anti-codon position. The record is from Rfam by way of RNAcentral. Lineage: Eukaryota; Metazoa; Chordata; Mammalia; Rodentia; Sciuridae.
GCAGGUGUGGUUCAGUGGUAGAGUGCUUGCUUAGUAUGCAAGAAGCCCUGGGUUUCACCCUCAGCACUGCA